RNAcentral lists this ribosomal RNA (502 nucleotides) under uncultured bacterium. RNAcentral's name for it is "bacterial SSU rRNA". It matches the Rfam family "Bacterial small subunit ribosomal RNA", at positions 29 to 516 of the family's 1533-position model. The record is from RNAcentral.
AACGAACGCUGGCGGCGUGGAUAAGACAUGCAAGUCGAACGCUAAGUUCGGGUAGCAAUAUUCCGGAGUUGGAGUGGCGAAAGGGUGCGUAACACGUGGGUAAUUUGCCGUGAAGUUGGGGAUAACUUGCUGAAAGGCGAGCUAAUACCGAAUGUGGUCUAACAAGGCUAAAAGUUGGGGACCGUAAGGCCUGACGCUUCAUGAUAAGCCCGCGGCCUAUCAGCUAGUUGGUGAGGUAAAGGCCCACCAAGGCAACGAUCAGUAGCGGGUCUGAGAGGAUGAUCCGCCACACUGGGACUGAGACACGGCCCAGACUCCUACGGGAGGCAGCAGUGGGGAAUUUUGGACAAUGGGGGCAACCCUGAUCCAGCCAUGCCGCGUGUCUGAAGAAGGCCUUCGGGUUGUAAAGGACUUUUGUCAGGGAGCAAAACCCAGCAGCUAAUAUCUGUUGGGGAUGAGAGUACCUGAAGAAUAAGCACCGGCUAACUACGUGCCAGCAGCC